AUUGAACGCUGGCGGCAUGCCUUACACAUGCAAGUCGAACGGCAGCGGACCUUCGGGUGCCGGCGAGCGGCGAACGGGUGAGUAAUGCAUCGGAACGUGCCAUUGAGUGGGGGGAUAACGUAGCGAAAGUUGCGCUAAUACCGCAUAUUCUGUGAGCAGGAAAGCAGGGGACCGCAAGGCCUUGCGCUCUUUGAGCGGCCGAUGUCAGAUUAGCUAGUUGGUGAGCUAACGGCUUACCAAGGCGACGAUCUGUAGCGGGUCUGAGAGGAUGAUCCGCCACACUGGAACUGAGACACGGUCCAGACUCCUACGGGAGGCAGCAGUGGGGAAUUUUGGACAAUGGGCGCAAGCCUGAUCCAGCCAUGCCGCGUGAGUGAAGAAGGCCUUCGGGUUG
This 394-nucleotide ribosomal RNA is filed under the name uncultured bacterium. RNAcentral describes it as "bacterial SSU rRNA". It matches the Rfam family "Bacterial small subunit ribosomal RNA", at positions 30 to 425 of the family's 1533-position model. The record is from RNAcentral.